AGGACGAACGCUGGCGGCGUGCUUAACACAUGCAGGUCGAGCGGAAAGGCCCUUCGGGGUACUCGAGCGGCGAACGGGUGAGUAACACGUGGGCAACCUGCCCCUAGCUCUGGGAUAACUCCGGGAAACCGGUGCUAAUACCGGAUACGACCUCAUUAGGCAUCCUUUGAGGUGGAAAGAUUUAUUGGCUAGGGAUGGGCCCGCGGCCUAUCAGCUUGUUGGUGGGGUAAUGGCCUACCAAGGCGACGAC
This 250-nucleotide ribosomal RNA is filed under the name uncultured bacterium. Its description in RNAcentral is "partial small subunit ribosomal RNA". It matches the Rfam family "Bacterial small subunit ribosomal RNA", at positions 26 to 280 of the family's 1533-position model. The record is from RNAcentral.